GUUCUGUUGAGUUUCACGCUUCUCUUCUCGCUGGUGGUGACCUUCCUCUGCUCCAUCGUCUUCCUCGGAAAGCCUCAAGACUGGAGCUGUAUGACCAGCAAUGUAGCCCUGGCUCUGGGUUUCGCUCUCUGCCUCUCCUCCAUCAUGGGUAAGGCAGCAGUGUUGAUGCUGAGAGCUCAGGCUUUAAAAGCGGCCAGAGCCAAAGCCAAAGCAGCUGCCAAGGCUGCAAAAGCAGCAGCUGAAGCAGCAGCAAACAGCGGCAAUCCUGAUGUCAUUGUAACCAGCACCAAUAACAACGACACCAGUGCCAGUGCUAACCCUGAUGUUGACAUUCUCACCUGUGCCCACCAGAGGGCGAUAGCUGCUGUGGGAACAUUGAUACAGGCUAUAGCAUGCACAGUGUGGCUCAUCAUUGUCCCUCCACACCCAGUCAAAAACAC
RNAcentral lists this long non-coding RNA (440 nucleotides) under Mastacembelus armatus (zig-zag eel). RNAcentral's name for it is "lncRNA (ENSMAMG00000028024.1)". The record is from RNAcentral. Lineage: Eukaryota; Metazoa; Chordata; Actinopteri; Synbranchiformes; Mastacembelidae.